UACGGAGGGUGCAAGCGUUAUCCGGAUUCACUGGGUUUAAAGGGUGCGUAGGUGGGCAGCUAAGUCAGUGGUGAAAUCUCCGGGCUCAACCCGGAAACUGCCAUUGAUACUAUCUGUCUUGAAUAUCGUGGAGGUAAGCGGAAUAUGUCAUGUAGCGGUGAAAUGCUUAGAUAUGACAUAGAACACCAAUUGCGAAGGCAGCUUACUACCCGAAUAUUGACACUGAGGCACGAAAGCGUGGGGAGCGAACAGG
Molecule: ribosomal RNA, 253 nt
Filed under: uncultured bacterium
Lineage: Bacteria
Description: partial 16S ribosomal RNA
Rfam family: Bacterial small subunit ribosomal RNA
Source: RNAcentral